Mangifera indica (mango) is the source of this 1220-nucleotide long non-coding RNA. RefSeq lists it as uncharacterized. The transcript is spliced from 5 exons. The record is from RefSeq and is a predicted model, not a curated record. NCBI's taxonomy places the organism in Eukaryota, Viridiplantae, Streptophyta, Magnoliopsida, Sapindales, Anacardiaceae.
UCUCUAAAAGCCAAAAAUUGGUCAACAGUCAAACCAAAGAAAUUAAACUCUGCUUUUGAGCGGACUCGGGUAAACUCCGAGGAUCUCUCCUUUUUCUGGCACUCUCUUCUUCAGAUCAGGCUCCUAGUCACCAAUUAACAGUUUUAUGGGAGAUUACGCAAAACUUUCCAAGAACUUUGGAGGCUCCACUGCUGCACUUGCAUUCACCAGUUAGGGUAGAAGUCCUUGCACAGAAAUUUGAUGGAAUGGAUGAUUUGACAUCUAAAUAAGAUGGGAACAAGUUCUAUAAGAUCUUUUAUGGUGCAUUUGAUGGCCAAUUUGCUGCAAUAGACGCAAUCCUAAUUGGUAAAGAGUCAUUUGUGCUUGAGGGUGAACAAGUGUGGAAAUGCCUUCUUGGACAGCAGUCGAUCAAGAAAUAGCAGGAUUUAGCUGAAGAUGCUUUGCAUUUAAAAGGAACUACUGUAGUGGGGGAGGACAGGAUCACUGGAAGAACUGCAGAUUGUGUUGAAUAUUAUUCCGUAUUUGUGGCUCAGCGGACUAAACAGUGACACAAGAUUCUCCCAGGGGAUAAGAAAAUGGUUAAUGAUUGGACACGUAAGAAGUCACUCAUCUUUGACAUGAAACCGUUGACCCAUAUAAAGUUUAGUUAGACACAAGUAAAAAAAAAAAAAAAAAGAACAAUUAAGAUUUCUCUAUUGCAAUUGCUUGCAAAUUUUUGUGGGAUGCCUUCCUGGUGCUCUGAUUCGAUGGUUACCACGCGCUACAUAAGCGCUUGGGAUAAUUUGAACAGAAGUGGUUUGCCAGCUGGCCGUACUAUGUGGAUUGGGUUAUGCAUGUGAUUUAAACACGUGUUCUGGAGCUCGUGACUACAACAGCGACGGAUUCAAGCAAAAGCCUGUUCUCACCUUUCUCGUGACUUUUUUGGAUCCCUGAAUAGGCCCCACUCUUAUCUUUGUCCUUUCGGAUCUGCCUCAGUUUGUGGGCUUCCAUCAGCCCAUUUUAAAUUAAACACUUCCUACUCUGCACCUCCACUUUGUAGCCUUGGCCCAAUACUUGCAUUUUCAUAUUUACCAUAACUUUAAUUCCACGGGAAUUAGGACAUGAGAUGGUAGGGUUUCUUGCUUCAGGCAUUACUGUAACUAAAAACACGGAUAGAAAUAUUAAUGUGUUAUCAUGUAAUUAAGUAUUAUUUUAUUUAUAAUUCAGAAGCAUUCUAAUCA